AUUGAACGCUGGCGGCAGGCCUAACACAUGCAAGUCGAGCGGAUGAAGGGAGCUUGCUCCUGGAUUCAGCGGCGGACGGGUGAGUAAUGCCUAGGAAUCUGCCUGGUAGUGGGGGAUAACGUCCGGAAACGGGCGCUAAUACCGCAUACGUCCUGAGGGAGAAAGUGGGGGAUCUUCGGACCUCACGCUAUCAGAUGAGCCUAGGUCGGAUUAGCUAGUUGGUGGGGUAAAGGCCUACCAAGGCGACGAUCCGUAACUGGUCUGAGAGGAUGAUCAGUCACACUGGAACUGAGACACGGUCCAGACUCCUACGGGAGGCAGCAGUGGGGAAUAUUGGACAAUGGGCGAAAGCCUGAUCCAGCCAUGCCGCGUGUGUGAAGAAGGUCUUCGGAUUGUAAAACACUUUAAGUUGGGAGGAAGGGCAGUAAGUUAAUACCUGGCUGUUUUGACGUUACCAACAGAAUAAGCACCGGCUAACUUCGUG
RNAcentral lists this ribosomal RNA (484 nucleotides) under uncultured bacterium. Its description in RNAcentral is "partial 16S ribosomal RNA". It matches the Rfam family "Bacterial small subunit ribosomal RNA", at positions 30 to 507 of the family's 1533-position model. The record is from RNAcentral.